This 314-nucleotide unclassified non-coding RNA is filed under the name plant metagenome. RNAcentral describes it as "partial contains 5.8S ribosomal RNA, internal transcribed spacer 2, and large subunit ribosomal RNA". The stretch from base 1 to 105 matches the Rfam family "5.8S ribosomal RNA", at positions 50 to 154 of the family's 154-position model. The record is from RNAcentral.
GAUAUGCAAUAAUUAAUGUGAAUUGCAGAAUUCAGUGAAUCAUCGAGUCUUUGAACGCACAUUGCGCCCCCUGGUAUUCCGGGGGGCAUGCCUGUCCGAGCGUCAUUGCUGCCCUCAAGCACGGCUUGUGUGUUGGGCUUCCGUCCCUGGCAACGGGGACGGGCCCAAAAGGCAGUGGCGGCACCAUGUCUGGUCCUCGAGCGUAUGGGGCUUUGUCACCCGCUCCCGUAGGUCCAGCUGGCAGCUAGCCUCGCAACCAAUCUUUUUAACCAGGUUGACCUCGGAUCAGGUAGGGAUACCCGCUGAACUUAAGC